GUGUUGUGUUCCUGCCGGUGAGUAAGGUUGCCAGAUCUGCCGAGGGUACAGAGUGUUAGGGUCGGCAACGCGCAUGUAACACCUCUGGAGUUGCAGGCGUUCAUAGGCUACGAUGACUGCUUACCAUCAGGCGGGCCGUAUGCUUGUUUGCCACCGAUGUGGUAUUAAAAAAAAUAGUCUUUAU
Long non-coding RNA from Cydia fagiglandana, 184 nucleotides. RefSeq lists it as uncharacterized. NCBI's taxonomy places the organism in Eukaryota, Metazoa, Arthropoda, Insecta, Lepidoptera, Tortricidae. The record is from RefSeq and is a predicted model, not a curated record. The transcript is spliced from 2 exons.